Canis lupus familiaris (dog) is the source of this 1540-nucleotide long non-coding RNA. RefSeq lists it as uncharacterized. The transcript is spliced from 3 exons. Lineage: Eukaryota; Metazoa; Chordata; Mammalia; Carnivora; Canidae. The record is from RefSeq and is a predicted model, not a curated record.
GGCCUCCACCCACCACAAACACCCUCUCGCCCGCACUCACCCAGCUGGGGAUUUGCCCAGCUGUUAUUUCUGAGCUGGGGAAACUUUGGGAUUCUUAAAACAAGAAGCCAAGAAGCAGACCUGCGUUUCUGCCCUUGGGGAACUCCGAGUUCUUCCCUGCACAAGGCUGUCAGGGAACCUGGGCCACACCUGCUGCUGGAGGGAAAGGAAGAGUCAUUGGACCUUGCUUUGAACUUGCCAUGCAAUGCGUGUAGGAUUCGAAGUUAAAGGCUGGGACAGGAGAGGACAGGCUGGCCUCUCUUGGUAUUGGAUUUGGAAGUCAAGUGCCAAGAGAAAGCUAUUUGGGAAAGCCAGCGUUUCGGUCCAGACUGCUCUGCAGUGAUGUGCCCCUCCCUGCCUUCCUAAUUCCCUCUGGGUCUUCCUUUGUCCCUGCUUCCAUCUCUGGGUCUCUGUGCCACUGUUCCUUGGCUUUCUACUCAAGGCAGCCUCGAAAAGGUGCUGGGAUUGACUGUUCUCCUUCAACUGGAUGAAUGCGUAGCCCCACCCUUCUCACAAAAAAUAUUCUUCCACCUUCUGUGGCCAGCCCCCCAUCUAAGACUGUAUCAGCACAUCGCCAGGGCAAAAGACUGGCCAGCUGACUCCCAGGGCUCCAUUUUCCAGGCAGACACUGGCAAACUCCUGUCAGUGUCAACCACCAUCUGACCUGGAAAUGCCAACCUGCUGCCAUUCCCCCACAGUCUGAAUUAUGCUGAAAUGAAGUCUCCUUGGCUCAGAGGAUCACGGAGGGUCUCAGCCCCAAGUAACCCAAAGGUCAAAGGUCAAGUGAAGUGCAUCCCUAACGAGACCGCAGAGCAGAGGGAGGACUCUUUUCCCAGAUCCAGGCAUCCCAUCUUUACUUCCUGGCUGGACACACCUGGCCUCUCUCUCUGGGGAUUGUCCUUCUGCCUGAGGAGUUUUCGCACACAAUGGUUGGCAGACUUCGGCAUUUAUUUUCAUCACCAUUUAAAGGUGAAUGGCAUUUGUCACAUUCCUUCCUGGCUGGCUUUGAUGUGGGGCGAUUUCCCACUCCCUAAUGACAGGUGAGGAGCCAGCCAGCUAACACCCAGCACCUCUGGGCAGCCUGGCUAUCCCUGCCCAAUCUGGUUCCCACAGCUGUUGCUUGUUUUCGGUAUCUAUUUCGGGGACUUUAAUUAAGAUCCUCUUUAAUGAUGGAGAGGAACUUCUCCAGUGAUUACCUCCUCACUUUUACAGCUCUCUCAGGCUCUUUCUCUUCCCUCCUCCUCUCGGCUCCCACAGUCUCCACUCCUCACCCCACAGUCACAGCUGAGGACACAGGCUUCUCUGCGGGGCCUUGGGGGUUCAGAGCCUCAGGUCUUAGGAGGGGGGCUCCCCCCACCAGACAGUGCAGCAAUGCUCAGUUGCACCAUAGCAAUAACACACAAGAUCAUUUUAAAGCCCAUGCCCUAAACAAACUGCAAAACUACAGUGUAGCACAGUACCUCACAAAUGAAAGGGAAAUAAAAUGAAUAAAAAGAUUGAC